Molecule: ribosomal RNA, 376 nt
Filed under: uncultured bacterium
Lineage: Bacteria
Description: bacterial SSU rRNA
Rfam family: Bacterial small subunit ribosomal RNA
Source: RNAcentral
UAAUACGAAGGGGGCUAGCGUUGUUCGGAAUCACUGGGCGUAAAGCGUAUGCAGGCGGGUCGUUAAGUGAGAGGUGAAAUCCCGAGGCUCAACCUCGGAACUGCCUUUCAUACUGGCGAUCUUUGAGUCCGGGAGAGGUGAGUGGAACUGCGAGUGUAGAGGUGAAAUUCGUAGAUAUUCGCAAGAACACCAGUGGCGAAGGCGGCUCACUGGCCCGGUACUGACGCUGAGAUACGAAAGCGUGGGGAGCAAACAGGAUUAGAUACCCUGGUAGUCCACGCCGUAAACGAUGGAUGCUAGCCGUCGGCAAGUUUACUUGUCGGUGGCGCAGCUAACGCAAUAAGCAUCCCGCCUGGGGAGUACGAUCGCAAGAUUA